This 72-nucleotide transfer RNA is filed under the name Gemmatimonadales bacterium. RNAcentral describes it as "tRNA-Val". It matches the Rfam family "tRNA". Rfam says of the family: Transfer RNA (tRNA) molecules are approximately 80 nucleotides in length. Their secondary structure includes four short double-helical elements and three loops (D, anti-codon, and T loops). Lineage: Bacteria; Pseudomonadati; Gemmatimonadota; Gemmatimonadia; Gemmatimonadales. The record is from RNAcentral.
GGGCGUGUAGCUCAGGAGCAGAGCGCUACGUUGACAUCGUAGAGGUCAGAGGUUCGAAGCCUCUCUCGCCCA